This 2055-nucleotide long non-coding RNA is filed under the name Oryza sativa Indica Group (long-grained rice). Its description in RNAcentral is "lncRNA OsPr106_12g0009550". The record is from RNAcentral. RNAcentral also lists the same sequence under 1 other name. Lineage: Eukaryota; Viridiplantae; Streptophyta; Magnoliopsida; Poales; Poaceae.
AUGGCAGAGGGUUUUACUGCUGACGAAGUUUUCCAAGCUGGAGAACAUCUGUUGCUUGUGCCACCAAUCAAGCCUAGCUCGUGUUCUAAGAACAAACGAGCUUUUGGAAAUGGUUGGCUGGCAAGAAGAAUUGUAGACGCAGUGGCAGGACAAACUGUGAGCAAGUGUAAACCAUGGAAAGGACCACUGCCUAGUGCCAGGUGUUCGCAACCUUUAACCAUUGGUGAUAAACUAGCCGAAGCCCUCGCUGCGAUGCCCAGACUCCAAGCUCGGCCAGGUUCGAGCAAUUGGGCUGCAGGAAAAAGAACGGUGAAAGAAGUAGAGUUGAACUUGGAUCAGAGAGCUACGAAGUGCAGAGGAGAGAGGUUCGUAGAGAAGGAUUGUAGAGCGGCGGAGAAGGAAGGACAUGAGGUGAUCCUCGGAAAGGGAGUCGUGCAGCUGGAUGUUGGAGAAACCGAGGAAUCUGGUCAGCUACCUAAUUCAAAUUCCAAACGGUUGGAAUUGGGCGCACAUGUCAGACCCAUUUAUCUGGGAUCAGGGCGGCGACCAAUUCGUUUUUAUCCUGGAGUGGGCCGUUUGCUUUCGCAGGCUGGGAGGCAUCCUCGGGCGUCCAAAGAGAUGAAGCCCAGUGGCAUACUUGGGAAGGAGAAAAGCACACAGUCUUUACGUCGAGCGGCGGACGCUGGAGUUAUUAAUUCAUUCGCGAGCCAUCGCACACUUUCCAAACUGAGAGAAGCUGAACAGGUUACGGGGAGAGAACCAGGGCGAAGGUGCGAUCUGGGCGAAGCCAUGGCGCAGCAUGGUGGCUGGGGUUGGGAGAGAGGUGAUGAGUCACAGUGGGAGGAUGAUGAGAGUUUCUUUCAUGGGAGGAGAGAAGGUGAUGAGCGGCUCCGUUUCCAGCCGGGCGUAGGGUUUGGGCAGGGGAGUGGAGGAAGAAGCCGGCCGCCGUAUGGCUUCAGGUCAAGAGGGACCGGCGGGUUCAGAGCUCGGAGGGGUGGCUUUGCCGGAAGAUCAGGGCGCAAUCCGUAUGGUGCGCGCUUCCCUCGCGGCGGCGGCCGGCAUCAACAAGGCAGUUUCAAGCGUAACUUUGAUGCACUAGCGACGGGAAAAGGUGAAGGCAGUUGUAGAGUGACUGGCAGCGGAGAGAAAGGGAAGAAACAACAUGGCAUGGAACCAGGAAAGGAGGUAGGAGGAAGCAAAGGGGCUGGGCAGAUUAAGAUCGGUAAGGUUGAGGUUCCGGUGAACUCGGAGGCAAAGAAAGGAAAGAAAUCAGUUUCUGAGAAUGACGAAGAGGAAGAAUUGAUGGAGUUUGAAGGUGCUCAGCGGGAGUUUGGGGACAGAAAGGGAGAGGAUCCAAAAGGAAGUGCAAAGGUGAAGAUAUGCUCUAGGUGCACUCAGAAAGGGUAUGACUAUGCAGAUUGCAUGAUAGAUGUUUAUUGCGAUGUUUGCGAUUCAACCGAGCACGUUAUUCAUAAGUGCCCGGUUCUGAAAAUUCCAAAACCGGCGGUUCAAGCAGUGGGUUAUGCGGUUGAUGGCCUAGGGUUUCAUCACAUACCACAUCAACCACUACAAAGGAGCAAGAAGGGCACAAAGAAGGCACUUGUACGAGUUGUUGGUGGCUCUCUUUCUGUUGAAAGGUUAGUUGCUCUUUUACAAAAGCUGUGUCCAGCCAAAUGGAAAUGGGAACCAGUGCCACACGGGAAGGAAGCUUUUGUCGUUCUUUUCCCUUCGAAGGAAAACUCGGAAAGGAAGGAAAAUGAGGUGCAGGAAAGUGGGGAUCAAGGGAGAGAAGAUGUUAUUUUGGAGAUGGCUGAAAAUGUGUUGGAUGUGGCUGUUGAGAGAGUGCUAGGGGAGGUGUAUGAGAGGGUGGAGAGGGAAGAAGAGAAGAUAGAUGGAGCAGUUAUGCAGCAGGAAAAGGUUGAACAACUAGCUAACAUACAAGAGGUGUUGGUGACACCGAAAAGAGCGAGUGAGAGGUUGAUGGGCAGCAGUGGGAGGCACUCGCUUGAAAAGGCGAAAUCGAGGAAGGCUUGGAUGAAUCUCGAUCUUCUUUCA